CUGUUCCUGCCAAUGGAAAUGGUGGAGCUGCUGCUUAGAAUGUUGUCAAGGUUGAUUCGAAGCCAAAGACUAAGCCUGCAGAAGUGAAGCCUGAAUCUGACGAGGAAGACGAGUUUGAUAACGAUGAUGACUCUGAGAAAGGAAUGGAUGUUGAUGAAGAUGACUCGGAUGAUACGAAGAGGACUCUGAGGAUGAAGAGUAGGAGGAGACUCCCAAGAAGCCUGAGCCAAUCAACAAGAAGAGGCCAAAUGAAUCUGCAUCCAAAACACCUGUCUCGGGAAAGAAGGCAAAACAGGCAGCAGCUACUCCUCAGAAGACAGAAGAGAAGAAGAAAGGAGGACUUACAGCCACACCGCACCCAGCUAAAAAGGGUGGAAAGUCUCUCCUGUGAAUGCUAGCCAGAGCCCCAAGUCUGGAUGUCAAUCAUUUGGUGGUAACAAC
Non-coding RNA from Camelina sativa (false flax), 441 nucleotides. The record is from RefSeq and is a predicted model, not a curated record. Lineage: Eukaryota; Viridiplantae; Streptophyta; Magnoliopsida; Brassicales; Brassicaceae.